AUUGAACGCUGGCGGCAGGCUUAACGCAUGCAAGUCGAGCGGGGUGAUGGUGCUUGCACUAUCACUUAGCGGCGGACGGGUGAGUAAUGCUUAGGAAUCUGCCUAUUAGUGGGGGACAACAUCUCGAAAGGGAUGCUAAUACCGCAUACGUCCUACGGGAGAAAGCAGGGGAUCACUUGUGACCUUGCGCUAAUAGAUGAGCCUAAGUCGGAUUAGCUAGUUGGUGGGGUAAAGGCCUACCAAGGCGACGAUCUGUAGCGGGUCUGAGAGGAUGAUCCGCCACACCGGGACUGAGACACGGCCCAGACUCCUACGGGAGGCAGCAGUGGGGAAUAUUGGACAAUGGGGGGAACCCUGAUCCAGCCAUGCCGCGUGUGUGAAGAAGGCCUUAUGGUUGUAAAGCACUUUAAGCGAGGAGGAGGCUCUUUUGGUUAAUACCCAAGAUGAGUGGACGUUACUCGCAGAAUAAGCACCGGCUAACUCUGUGCCAGCAGCCGCAGUAA
RNAcentral lists this ribosomal RNA (503 nucleotides) under uncultured bacterium. RNAcentral describes it as "partial 16S ribosomal RNA". It matches the Rfam family "Bacterial small subunit ribosomal RNA", at positions 30 to 523 of the family's 1533-position model. The record is from RNAcentral.